This 873-nucleotide ribosomal RNA is filed under the name Escherichia coli. RNAcentral's name for it is "partial 23S ribosomal RNA". It matches the Rfam family "Bacterial large subunit ribosomal RNA", at positions 419 to 1291 of the family's 2925-position model. Lineage: Bacteria; Pseudomonadati; Pseudomonadota; Gammaproteobacteria; Enterobacterales; Enterobacteriaceae. The record is from RNAcentral.
GGGACACGUGGUAUCCUGUCUGAAUAUGGGGGGACCAUCCUCCAAGGCUAAAUACUCCUGACUGACCGAUAGUGAACCAGUACCGUGAGGGAAAGGCGAAAAGAACCCCGGCGAGGGGAGUGAAAAAGAACCUGAAACCGUGUACGUACAAGCAGUGGGAGCACGCUUAGGCGUGUGACUGCGUACCUUUUGUAUAAUGGGUCAGCGACUUAUAUUCUGUAGCAAGGUUAACCGAAUAGGGGAGCCGAAGGGAAACCGAGUCUUAACUGGGCGUUAAGUUGCAGGGUAUAGACCCGAAACCCGGUGAUCUAGCCAUGGGCAGGUUGAAGGUUGGGUAACACUAACUGGAGGACCGAACCGACUAAUGUUGAAAAAUUAGCGGAUGACUUGUGGCUGGGGGUGAAAGGCCAAUCAAACCGGGAGAUAGCUGGUUCUCCCCGAAAGCUAUUUAGGUAGCGCCUCGUGAAUUCAUCUCCGGGGGUAGAGCACUGUUUCGGCAAGGGGGUCAUCCCGACUUACCAACCCGAUGCAAACUGCGAAUACCGGAGAAUGUUAUCACGGGAGACACACGGCGGGUGCUAACGUCCGUCGUGAAGAGGGAAACAACCCAGACCGCCAGCUAAGGUCCCAAAGUCAUGGUUAAGUGGGAAACGAUGUGGGAAGGCCCAGACAGCCAGGAUGUUGGCUUAGAAGCAGCCAUCAUUUAAAGAAAGCGUAAUAGCUCACUGGUCGAGUCGGCCUGCGCGGAAGAUGUAACGGGGCUAAACCAUGCACCGAAGCUGCGGCAGCGACGCUGAUGCGUUGUUGGGUAGGGGAGCGUUCUGUAAGCCUGCGAAGGUGUGCUGUGAGGCAUGCUGGAGGUAUCAGAAGUGC